Ornithodoros turicata is the source of this 388-nucleotide long non-coding RNA. RefSeq lists it as uncharacterized. The transcript is spliced from 3 exons. The record is from RefSeq and is a predicted model, not a curated record. Lineage: Eukaryota; Metazoa; Arthropoda; Arachnida; Ixodida; Argasidae.
UGUUGGGCACAUGCGGAUGCCACGUCAGUGCGACCUAGGGCCUCAACCAACAACACCUAGAUAGCCGAAGUCAUGCGCGGUACGUCAGGCAGAUGGCUGGCUCACACUGGGAGGGGAGGUGCACAACCCCCCAUCUCCAUCAUCACGUAUCGUGUUGGUGUUGACUCGGGCUUCACAGGGCAUGAACAGUGUGGAGUUGGGAGAGGCUGUCUUUGAGUGAUUACGGUCGAGUCACAAAUUAUUGCAAGAAGGCGCUUACCGAGAACGUCGCUCGAACGUGAAGACACUGGAGGAAGAGGCGCUUCAACUGUUGAACAAGAAAAUUGAUUACUCUCACUCUCACUUUUCUCGUAUUCGGAAAAACACAUGUUCCAUGUAUGUGCGUAGG